UUUCAUCAGCCUCACUUCUAUGGACUCUCAGAGCUGAUUACCAACUCCUACCACUGUUAACCCUCAUCCAGGAACAAGCUUAUGUCUUUAACAUUCUGAGUGGGCUUCAGCAUCCUUGCAUAUGUUCAAUUCUUAAAAACCUGUUGAAAUAAAAGAUCAGGAGACAUAGGAGGGAUGCCAGAAGACAGCGUGGCCUCACGUGUACCAGCUCUCUGCUCUCCUUUGCCUUGGGACGUUCCAUCCCUGGAAGUUUCCCUGCCCACAUCUUUGUAGAGAGUCCAUUCUCCAAGCUUCAGUGUGUCAUCUGUUAGGACUAUGACCCACCUGGUACAUUACCUCAGGGCAUUCAUUUCAGGCUCCUUCUAAGUGGUCAAGUUUUCAAGAUUGUUUUGGCUCUAGCAAAACAAGUUGGAACAUUCACAUCAUCCAGUAAACCUCAGGUUCUCCUCCUGCCUUUUGCUAAGUAUAUGUCUUGAUGACAAGCCUUCUGCUAAUGAGCUGUGUUUCUGGACCGAUCAUGGUAGAAGUCAAUUGAAGUGUCCCUCACUUGGGGUUUCUUAAGGUCAUCUAUGAACUGACUCUGUCUCAAAAAAAAGGAAGAAUGAAAAAAAAAAAAAACUAGGACACCGCUAACAGGAAUGGGGACAAAGAAUCUGCACUGAUGAGGAAACUGAAACAGAAAAUCCAGAGUAAAUUCCACCAGGCCACACAGCAAGGUCUGAUAGAGCCAGGAGAGACUUUAUGAAAUCCAGACUCUCACACUAAUGCUCUAUCAGCUAGACCUCCAUGUGAGUCUCCCCAAUGUAGGUAGGAAGCACUUUCCC
This 824-nucleotide long non-coding RNA is filed under the name Pongo abelii (Sumatran orangutan). RNAcentral describes it as "lincRNA". Lineage: Eukaryota; Metazoa; Chordata; Mammalia; Primates; Hominidae. The record is from RNAcentral.